Molecule: ribosomal RNA, 206 nt
Filed under: Enterococcus lactis
Lineage: Bacteria; Bacillati; Bacillota; Bacilli; Lactobacillales; Enterococcaceae
Description: partial 16S ribosomal RNA
Rfam family: Bacterial small subunit ribosomal RNA
Source: RNAcentral
UUUUAUGAGAGUUUGAUCCUGGCUCAGGACGAACGCUGGCGGCGUGCCUAAUACAUGCAAGUCGUACGCUUCUUUUUCCACCGGAGCUUGCUCCACCGGAAAAAGAGGAGUGGCGAACGGGUGAGUAACACGUGGGUAACCUGCCCAUCAGAAGGGGAUAACACUUGGAAACAGGUGCUAAUACCGUAUAACAAUCGAAACCGCAU